Molecule: ribosomal RNA, 630 nt
Filed under: uncultured bacterium
Lineage: Bacteria
Description: bacterial SSU rRNA
Rfam family: Bacterial small subunit ribosomal RNA
Source: RNAcentral
AACGUGCCCAGUCGUGGGGGAUAACGCAGCGAAAGCUGUGCUAAUACCGCAUACGAUCUCUGGAUGAAAGCGGGGGACUCAGCAAUGAGCCUCGCGCGAUUGGAGCGGCCGAUAUCAGAUUAGCUAGUUGGUGGGGUAAAAGCCCACCAAGGCGACGAUCUGUAGCUGGUCUGAGAGGACGACCAGCCACACUGGAACUGAGACACGGUCCAGACUCCUACGGGAGGCAGCAGUGGGGAAUUUUGGACAAUGGGCGCAAGCCUGAUCCAGCAAUGCCGCGUGCAGGAUGAAGGCCUUCGGGUUGUAAACUGCUUUUGUACGGAACGAAACGGUUCUCUUUAAUAAAGGGGGCUAAUGACGGUACCGUAAGAAUAAGCACCGGCUAACUACGUGCCAGCAGCCGCGGUAAUACGUAGGGUGCGAGCGUUAAUCGGAAUUACUGGGCGUAAAGCGUGCGCAGGCGGUUAUAUAAGACAGAUGUGAAAUCCCCGGGCUCAACCUGGGACCUGCAUUUGUGACUGUAUAGCUAGAGUACGGUAGAGGGGGAUGGAAUUCCGCGUGUAGCAGUGAAAUGCGUAGAUAUGCGGAGGAACACCGAUGGCGAAGGCAAUCCCCUGGACCUGUACUGAC